ACCGAAUAAUAACUCCGAGCUGACAGGCCUAAGGGUGUUCAACCUAUGGUCUCCAGCCAUGACUAUGUAUAGUUAAGGGUAUCCCAGGAAACUGCGAUGCCUCCCGGUGGAAAGGAGAAAAACAAAUUUUAGU
Regulatory RNA element from Thermincola sp., 133 nucleotides. It matches the Rfam family "Molybdenum/Tungsten riboswitch aptamer (Moco RNA motif)". The record is from Rfam. Lineage: Bacteria; Bacillati; Bacillota; Clostridia; Eubacteriales; Thermincolaceae.